CCCGCCCGGGAACUACAAGCGCAAGCUUAAAACCCAAAGGACUUGACGGUGCCCCACCCCUCUAGAGGAGCCUGUUCUAUAAUCGAUACCCCCCGAUACACCUCACCACCCCUUGCCCACAGCCUGUAUACCUCCGUCGCAAGCUUACCAUGUGAAUGCACAAGUGAGCUAAAAGGUCUAACACCCCCACGUCAGGUCAAGGUGCAGCCCACGGACUGGAAAGAAAUGGGCUACAAUUUCUACCCUAGAACACACAGAACACUACCUGAAACAGUUACUAAAGGCGGAUUUAGCAGUAAAGAGAAAAUAGAGAGUUCCCUUUAACCUGGCCCUGGGACGCGUACACACCGCCCGUCACCCUCUUCAAAACACCACGCAAUGUAACUAACACCCUUCCCCCCCCCAGAAGAGGCAAGUCGUAACAUGGUAAGUGUACUGGAAAGUGCACUUGGAACAAAAUGUAACUUAACCAAAGUCCCUUGUUUACACCAAGGAUCUGUCAAGGAUAUCUGACCAUUUUAGACCUAAAAUCUAGCCCAACAAACCCGAAUAACCCAAUUUCCCAAUAGACGCUCAAUAAAACUACCCCAGCAAGUAGGACGGUCAAAAAGCACCUGGAGCCUUAACAUUAAUACCGCAAGGGAAUACUGAAAUAACUUAAAACACCACAAAAAGGACCCCCCCCCGUACCUUUUGCAUCAUGGUCUAGCAA
Molecule: ribosomal RNA, 712 nt
Filed under: Paedophryne swiftorum
Lineage: Eukaryota; Metazoa; Chordata; Amphibia; Anura; Microhylidae
Description: partial 12S ribosomal RNA
Rfam family: Bacterial small subunit ribosomal RNA (bases 1-464)
Source: RNAcentral